GUCACGGUUAUGUACAUGUGUUCAGUAUCAGGUGAUCAGUUAAGAAUUUGUUUUCAACACACAGAGAAGCUAUUCAUCCAUCUUUAGCUGUACGAUAGACUUAUUUAAUCCAAACGAGCACUAAUCUGUGAAAGGCUUCAAGCUUACGAGCAUCUACAGUAAACACCUAGCGUGAAGGCAGUUAGCACUGCUGAAAGCACCACGGAGAUAUUGACUCGACGCUAAUGUAGCUUUAGACAAGCAAUUAAUCAUAAAAAAAAACCACUGUAUUUGUGCUCAUUCGUGAACUUCACCUUACCGUGUAAACCAUUUAAGUGCCUAAUAGGUUCCGAACAAACGAAGCGAAAAUCGAGCAUCCAUCAGUGAGCUGUAAUUAGUUCGGUGUAUUUGUCCUUCACACGCAAGUACAUUUGAUUAGCGAUAAAGAAGGAAAAAGAACCAGUGUAUGUUAUCUUCAAUUGUGUCUCAAUUAAAAAAAGCUCUCAGACUUGAAAA
Molecule: long non-coding RNA, 495 nt
Organism: Stylophora pistillata
Lineage: Eukaryota; Metazoa; Cnidaria; Anthozoa; Scleractinia; Pocilloporidae
Source: RefSeq, a predicted model, not a curated record